Molecule: ribosomal RNA, 600 nt
Filed under: uncultured Curvibacter sp.
Lineage: Bacteria; Pseudomonadati; Pseudomonadota; Betaproteobacteria; Burkholderiales; Comamonadaceae
Description: bacterial SSU rRNA
Rfam family: Bacterial small subunit ribosomal RNA
Source: RNAcentral
GAAACUCAAAGGAAUUGACAGGGACCCGCACAAGCGGUGGAUGAUGUGGUUUAAUUCGAUGCAACGCGAAAAACCUUACCCACCUUUGACAUGUACGGAAUCCUGAAGAGAUUUGGGAGUGCUCGAAAGAGAACCGUAACACAGGUGCUGCAUGGCUGUCGUCAGCUCGUGUCGUGAGAUGUUGGGUUAAGUCCCGCAACGAGCGCAACCCUUGUCAUUAGUUGCUACGAAAGGGCACUCUAAUGAGACUGCCGGUGACAAACCGGAGGAAGGUGGGGAUGACGUCAAGUCCUCAUGGCCCUUAUAGGUGGGGCUACACACGUCAUACAAUGGCUGGUACAAAGGGUUGCCAACCCGCGAGGGGGAGCUAAUCCCAUAAAACCAGUCGUAGUCCGGAUCGCAGUCUACAACUCGACUGCGUGAAGUCGGAAUCGCUAGUAAUCGUGGAUCAGAAUGUCACGGUGAAUACGUUCCCGGGUCUUGUACACACCGCCCGUCACACCAUGGGAGCGGGUUCUGCCAGAAGUAGUUAGCCUAACCGCAAGGAGGGCGAUUACCACGGCAGGGUUCGUGACUGGGGUGAAGUCGUAACAAGGUAAC